ACGAGCAGAAAGUGAUUAAAUCACGUUAUCUAGAGGAAGGAGAAGUCGUAACAAGGUAACGGUAGGUGAACCUGCCGUUGGAUCAGUUCUAGUUUA
Molecule: ribosomal RNA, 96 nt
Filed under: Trichomonas sp. 2 AP-2012
Lineage: Eukaryota; Parabasalia; Trichomonadida; Trichomonadidae
Description: partial 18S ribosomal RNA
Rfam family: Eukaryotic small subunit ribosomal RNA
Source: RNAcentral